AACCGACACAGGUGGUCAGGUAGAGAAUACCAAGGCGCUUGAGAGAACUCGGGUGAAGGAACUAGGCAAAAUGGUGCCGUAACUUCGGGAGAAGGCACGCUGACAUGUAGGUGAAGUGAUUUACUCACGGAGCUGAAGUCAGUCGAAGAUACCAGCUGGCUGCAACUGUUUAUUAAAAACACAGCACUGUGCAAACACGAAAGUGGACGUAUACGGUGUGACGCCUGCCAGGU
This 233-nucleotide ribosomal RNA is filed under the name Salmonella enterica subsp. enterica serovar Cerro. RNAcentral describes it as "partial 23S ribosomal RNA". It matches the Rfam family "Bacterial large subunit ribosomal RNA", at positions 1652 to 1867 of the family's 2925-position model. The record is from RNAcentral. Lineage: Bacteria; Pseudomonadati; Pseudomonadota; Gammaproteobacteria; Enterobacterales; Enterobacteriaceae.